Long non-coding RNA from Armigeres subalbatus, 1134 nucleotides. RefSeq lists it as uncharacterized. The record is from RefSeq and is a predicted model, not a curated record. The transcript has 4 exons. Lineage: Eukaryota; Metazoa; Arthropoda; Insecta; Diptera; Culicidae.
CAUGCUCUGCAAGCAGGGUUAUUCGAUAAUUAUUGAGAUGUCACUUUUAAGUUUAAUUUCAGUUUAAUUCUCCAAAUGAGACAGAUCCUAAAAUAUAAAUAUAAAUAUAACCAUUCCUACGAAGGCCGGAUCAGCGAUUGUUUUUUUCUAUCGGAUGCUUGAGUUGUGGAAUCUGGACCACACAAGUAAUAUACCAAGGAUACUGACUGGAAACCAUAAGCGAUUAUCACCAAUAAUGUACUCAAUCCAUCGCAUCGAUUAGCCCUGCUAAAACUUUCAUCCUUCGUCAUGCCGCGGCCGGCAUGCCGGUGCGCUCCGAACAUUCUGGUGCAUACCCGAUAUUCGUGCUAACUAACCACGACUAUAUAUAGUGGAUUCCAAAAUAUAAUUUUUGAAGUUCCGUCGGCUAUCGCGAACCCGUUGGUAGUAUUCAUCUUUUGGUAGUUUAUUUGAGGCAUCCGGAGGUGGAAUCGGCUUCAGUGAACUGCUUCUAGAAAAUGCUAGGAUAUAUAAGGCAAGACAAUCAGCAGUACCGGAUCGUCGGAAGAGUAUUUCUUCGAACCACAAGAUUCUGGUUCGAAAAAUGGCAAUUCACAGAAGGACUCAAACGACAACAUACAGUUCGGUGUCCUUCGGAGGGAAGCAUGUAAGGAACGAAUGGAACAGCAAGUAUCCGGAGGUAUAUGCAGAAUUGAUCAUAGCAGAGGUCGGCAUUUGAUUCAGUCACCGAAGACAAAUCCAAAUUAUCUUCACCGCGAUCCAGCUUCUCCGGUUCCCCUUAGACGUCGCACGUCGCUCAAAUCCCGAACCGGUUAAUCUAAAACAUAAAAAGCCAUCAAGCGUGAAAUUCAUCCGCAAUCGCAUCGGCUUUUGCAAGUGAAUAUCCGGACAUAUAGCGGACAUCAUCGAACGCAACAACGCUAGAUCAUCCAACGCCACAAAUUUCGGAAUUAAUCCUAUAAAGGAAAUCUCUAAAAUGAGCAGUCUCAAGGAGAACCAUGUUGAAGGACACCGGGUUUGAAUCAAGAUUACCUCGAUUUCCCCUUAAGGCUGAAAAAAAUGUACUAUCCACACGUAAAAAAAAGUACCGUUUUGCUUCGAAUUACCGGACGCUUCGAAAGCCGGACACUACAA